UAAAAUUUGGGGAAGCAUAUGAGCAAGCAGAGACUUCAAAGUUGCAGCAAGUGGCGGAUAUGGAGAGGCAGAGAAUGAAGUUUGCCAAGGAGCUGGAGUUGCAGAGAAUGCAGUUUUUCAUGAAGACUCAAUUGGAGAUAUCUCAGCUGAACCAUGGGAGAAGGGUUGGGAAUAACAGUAUUCACCGAAACAACAACAAUAACAAUAACAACAAUAGUGAUAGCAGCAACUAGAUUAGCUUAGAAAUUAGGCUUACCCUGAUGAAAAUUUGUGUUGCAAUUGUUAAUUUGAAAUGUACCGCUUUCUCAAUCUCAAUCCUUAUUUAUCACAACCUGUAACUUUCCCUCAAAAUGCUCAAAUACAUUGGGGUAGUGUUGAUUAAUCUAAGUGUUGCUCUUGUACUGUUGUACAUACAUUGUAAGAGUUUUGUUGUGUUAAAAUUUAGAUUGACAUUGUGUAUCUUUGAUGAUGUAAAUUUUGCAGCUGCUUCUCAUGCCCAAUUUCUUCCAUCGUUGUUGUUCGGGUCUGCGCAAUGGUCAUAUGGGUUGAUCAUCUGCAGGUGAUGCAAAACAGGUUGUUUAGUUUAAGAAGAAUAGACAUGAAGAAGAAACUGAUCAUGUUUCCAAAGCAAUACACAAUAUGCAAUGAGGGCAGUGCAGAGUUGCUUUUCUAGUAAAAUCAUGCUUGGAUUCAUGGGAAGAUGCUUUAAAACAUUUUAAGGAUUGUUUGGUAGCAGACAACCAAAAAGGACAUCUUCAGAAACAGCGAAACUUGCAAUGAGAAACAGAAACAUAUAUGAUAUGAAAUUCCAUCUAGGGCAGAGGUUAAUAUCAACAAUGUGAAUACCAGUUUUGUGCUUUUCCGGAACUUUUUUGUUGGGCACUGUUCUCCCCCUGCAAAGAAAUACACAGAACAAAAAAAAGAAGAAUUCAACAUGAAUUUGUGAGAAGCAUGAUGCAUAAUUCCAGGAUAUUCUAUGCUAGGUAAUGCUCCCUGGGCACUUAAGGUGCUAGCAAUUCUCUUGUGAUGGAACCAUGAAACACUGAAAUCAUGGAGACAAAUUCCACUUAUCAAAAAGUGAAAAGAAAAGGAAAAAGCUUAGACGCAAUUUAUCUAAGACUAGUUUACAAUCUAUGAAAAGGGAAAAGGAAAAGCAGCAUCAUUUGAUAAUUAUUCUUCUACCCGGUUUUAGAAAUCUAAAAAGAAAGCAGCAAUCGAUUAAUCUUGUCACACAAUCUAUAUUAGUUCCUCCUUACAUUAUAUAUGAGGCAUAAAGGUCUUUAGUUUGUGAACUACAUGUAAAUGGAAGCAAGAACCUGGAAUGAGUUUUGAUGUCUUGGGAGUCCUUCAUCCAUCAUUUUUCCUAAUUACUUGAUUGGGAAUCUCAAUGUGGUUUGAAAUCUAUGAUUUAAGUGUGGCAGCAUUCUACGGUCAGGUUGAAUUGCUAAAGUGCAAAUAUUCUCUUAUUAGCUUCACUGUUCAUCUUUGAAGUAAGAGAAUAUGCUAGUUCAGUACGAAUUCCGACAGGAUUUUAUCUAUUCACAUCACUCUGGUUGUCUGUCUAUUUGGACUUCCAAACAUUAAUCUGCUCUUUAGGUUAAUUUGACAAAACUAACUUAAACUUUGUAGGGGCCUUCUGAUCAAGUUUAUCAUUUCUAAAGAAGAAAGGGUCCAAUAUGCAGAUAUUGCGAAAAUAUGAGCAGUCUCCCCAUAUUAACUUUUCACAAUCAGAUUGACUCUAGAAUAUCAGCAACAACAGCAAGCAAGUGGAUGGUGGAGGAAAAUACUGUAUACAUCAAAGACCAACGAAGGAAUCUUUCAUUACAAGGCUCACUAAGAUCCUGCACAGAAGACUACCUUAUAGGCUGUCCAUCUCACAGUGCAUGGGUCAUUUUAGUUUUUUUGGAUUGACCCGAUAGCUGUUGAGAAAUUCAAUCUUGUGAGUGUGUCCUUUCAGCCUAGAAAGCUAAUACUAGACCCAGUUAGAAUUUUCAAAUCAACAGGUAUUUGAAUAAUUGGGACAGCAAGGGAGGAACUAAAGAAAUAUUUCUAUGAUCCUCUUCUAAGACCCUGCUGACACACCUGGGGACAUUACCUUUCCAGUACUGAUAAUCAUACCAUGAGUUAAGUUGCCAAGCAUCUACCCUGCAACUUUCCUCCCAGUAAACAUGGUUUAUUUUCACAUCCCAGAAUCCAGAUCUCCAAGGUAAGAACUAGAACAAUCCCAGAAUUAUGACCAGAAAAACUCUGUUUCUUGUUUGAAUGCCUUGAAAAUCAAAACCUAAAGGAUGUUUUAACGGACUUAACCUUGUCCAUAAGGUUCACAACAGCGGGGACUGUGUAUUCUGAGAUGCACUUUCCCAAAGGAUCCCUCCUCUCUGCUCCAUGUCAGUGUGUUGACAAAAGGACCAUUAAUUCAAUGCAACACAACUAAAGGAAUGAAAUGACCCUAACCUCUCAAUAAUAAGCCGGAUUGGUAAUUUUAACUUUUAAGAUCCUCUAAGGACUGUUUGGUAACUAUUUUUAAAAACAGUUUUCUAACUUAGGAAACAUGUUUAGGAAACCUUUGACAAUAAAACAAAUUUAAGUUGUUUCAAGUUGUUCCUCAUAAAGUGUCGUGACAAUUAAAAAGAUGGAGUAAGCCGAAAAAACUAUUUUCCUUUUUUGAGUUGUCAAACAAAAUGUUAUUCCUGCAAACAAUUGAGAACUGAUGUCAAAAACUGUUUUUCGAAAACUGUUUUUAAAAAGCAUUGCCAAACAUAUGCUUUGUUUCUUCCUACCUAAGGAGAAGGCUAACAGGGGAGAAGGCUAACAGCCAAUGCUUUGAACUCCUUGACAGAACACUACAACAAAUAUUAAAUAAAAAAAAUAAAAAAAUCUAUCCCUAUCAUAUUUACCCUAUAAAAUAGCAUUUCCAGGUAGAAACUUCUAAUUCUUUAUUUAAAAAUAAAAACAUAAGUCAGUCCAAAAUUGCUUGUUUGAAAAACAUCACAUGAAUUGUUUUCAUUUAAUGCAAAGGAUUCCAAAAGUUUCCAUCAUGGGAAGAGGUGAGAUUAUAUUUUCAAGUUUCAUAUUCUAAAGAUAAGGGCAUACAGAAAGCAAGUUUUCAUAUUUUAAAGAUAAGGGACCUGCAGUGCACGGGGAGGCUUAAACGAGAAGAUGCCAUCAGAGUCGGGCACCAAAUUAUAAUCAACAAUAUCACAUGAUAUGAUCAGUCAUGUAAUGAGAGAUGUAACUCUGAAUCAACUAAAGCAUUAUGAUAUGCACCAAAUUGUGAAAUACUAGAACAAUAAAUUGAGGAAACAACAUUAUCCCAAAAGCAAUGCUAUACAAAUGUUCGGUUACUGCCCUAUAAUUCCAACUUGGCAUGCCUAAUAAAAAAGUUAGGCAUUAAUUCAAAGAAGACACGGAUUCUACCUAUCACAGCCACCGACAUUAUUUUCAGCAUAGUUUAGUUCAACCCACCCUCCCCUUCAAUCAACAACACGAGCUCUAAUCUUGUGAAGUAAACCACUGAUAAACAAUGCAUACCCUUUUAAGAAUCAAGAAGAAACAGAGAUAUACGAUAAAAAAGAGGGAAAUUUACACAAGUUUCAGUGGCCAAAUUGAAAGUGCUUUUGAAUUUGACAACAGUGACUUCAUCACUUAAUGGAAUUGUGAGCUUGUCUUUUUUUGCUAGCACCCGGAUCUUUUAAUUGAUGAGAUGUCCUAAAGCCAGGCUUUAGCCAAUGUUUAAGGUAUAAAGCCUAUGACAAGAUAGUUUGUCCUCUCUGUGGAAUUUGAUGAUGCAAACCUUUAUAAAAUUUGCUGCUUGCUUUACAUAAGGAGCAAAUCCAUAACAACUGAGAUAAAAUAUUAUUGCUUGAUGGUGCAAUGGUCAAAUGUCUUCUAAAUAAUUACCUAGAUGGAAGAUUGGGAAUUCUUUAUUCUUACUUUUAGCAGGAACAAUUGUUUAAUAUUUCGAGAAGGUAAGAAUUCAAAUACUAACAUACAAGCAUCAGAUUUUCUUGCUUCCAAAGGUAUCAUAGGAUGCGAGAUUUUCGGAUAAGCAAUCAACAACAAGCCCAUUACCAAAAAUCUUGAAGAUAGAAAGGGGAAUUGGGGUGUCGGUGGAAUUAGAACACUGGACAAAGCACCAAAGUGGGAUCAUAGAGAAAAGGUUGAUACUUGAUAGUAACAUCCCUACAGGUCCAAGGUUGAAUGAUGUUCAGUUUCCCAUAACAAGCAAAAAUCAUGAUUACUUCAGAGAAAAUCAUGGAAACCCUUUUGCUCAUAAAUCCAAAAAUUCAAUUCCCAUAACAUCCAAACAAUUUGAUUUCAACCCAGUUCACUCUUUCCCAUGUCAAUCAAAAUACAGAACCCUAUAAAAUAAAAAUAAUUAAAAAAAAAAAAAAAAACACAAGAGAACCCAGUCAACGAAUCAAUCCAAAAACACCAACCAGUGAUAGUGCAAAAUCAAAGAAAGAAAUCAUCACACUUCAUAAUAAACAAAUGGAAAUAACUGCAUGAAAUUUUGCUCUGUAAAAUUCCCAAAAAAAAAAAGCCCAGAAAAGCAAACGUUAGAAAUUUAAACGAAGAAGCACUUACCUGAGCUAGAACCAGGCUUGUUCUUGAGUUGGUGAUCUCCGGGAGAAAUCGGGAAAUAGUAAAGAAAUGAAUAGGCUUGAAGCAGAUGGAUAAGAGAAACAGUGGUGCCCUUCUCGGCGACCACUGUCCGCCGGAGCCGGAGGAAGUAGCUCAGUGCAGAAAGGUGUCCGAUCCUGGCGAAUUGGCCUCCUCCUUCAGUGUUUUUCUUUACUUUUUUGUUUCAUUUUUAGUUCUAGCUUUUUUUUUUUUUUUUUGAAUAUUAGAAUAUCAAGUGUUUAUAGAUAAGUAAUA
Molecule: long non-coding RNA, 4878 nt
Filed under: Vitis vinifera (wine grape)
Lineage: Eukaryota; Viridiplantae; Streptophyta; Magnoliopsida; Vitales; Vitaceae
Description: long non-coding RNA (VVIN_LNC002707)
Source: RNAcentral